UACUCUGUCGUGGGGGAUAACGUAGGGAAACUUACGCUAAUACCGCAUACGACCUACGGGUGAAAGCAGGGGACCUUCGGGCCUUGCGCGAUUGAAUGAGCCGAUGUCGGAUUAGCUAGUUGGCGGGGUAAAGGCCCACCAAGGCGACGAUCCGUAGCUGGUCUGAGAGGAUGAUCAGCCACACUGGAACUGAGACACGGUCCAGACUCCUACGGGAGGCAGCAGUGGGGAAUAUUGGACAAUGGGCGCAAGCCUGAUCCAGCCAUACCGCGUGGGUGAAGAAGGCCUUCGGGUUGUAAAGCCCUUUUGUUGGGAAAGAAAUCCAGCUGGCUAAUACCCGGUUGGGAUGACGGUACCCAAAGAAUAAGCACCGGCUAACUUCGUGCCAGCAGCCGCGGUAAUACGAAGGGUGCAAGCGUUACUCGGAAUUACUGGGCGUAAAGCGUGCGUAGGUGGU
Molecule: ribosomal RNA, 457 nt
Filed under: Stenotrophomonas geniculata
Lineage: Bacteria; Pseudomonadati; Pseudomonadota; Gammaproteobacteria; Lysobacterales; Lysobacteraceae
Description: bacterial SSU rRNA
Rfam family: Bacterial small subunit ribosomal RNA
Source: RNAcentral